RNAcentral lists this ribosomal RNA (304 nucleotides) under uncultured bacterium. RNAcentral describes it as "bacterial SSU rRNA". It matches the Rfam family "Bacterial small subunit ribosomal RNA", at positions 28 to 332 of the family's 1533-position model. The record is from RNAcentral.
GACGAACGCUGGCGGCGUGCUUAACACAUGCAAGUCGAGCGGUAAGGCCCUUUCGGGGGUACACGAGCGGCGAACGGGUGAGUAACACGUGGGUGACCUGCCCUCAGCUCUGGGAUAAGCCCUGGGAAACCGGGUCUAAUACUGGAUAUGACUCCAUGACGCAUGUUGUGGGGUGGAAAGCCUUGUGCGGCUGAGGAUGGGCCCGCGGCCUAUCAGCUUGUUGGUGGGGUGANGGCCUACCAAGGCGACGACGGGUAGCCGGCCUGAGAGGGCGACCGGCCACACUGGGACUGAGACACGGCCC